This 512-nucleotide ribosomal RNA is filed under the name uncultured bacterium. RNAcentral describes it as "partial 16S ribosomal RNA". It matches the Rfam family "Bacterial small subunit ribosomal RNA", at positions 28 to 523 of the family's 1533-position model. The record is from RNAcentral.
GAUGAACGCUGGCGGCAUGCCUAAUACAUGCAAGUCGAACGAGAGGAAGGAAAGCUUGCUUUUCUGAAUCUAGUGGCGAACGGGUGAGUAACUCGUAGGUAACCUGCCCAUGUGCCCGGGAUAACUUCUGGAAACGGAUGCUAAAACCGGAUAGGUAGCAGACAAGCAUUUGACUGCUAUUAAAGUGGCUAAGGCCAUGAACAUGGAUGGACCUGCGGUGCAUUAGCUAGUUGGUGAGGUAACGGCCCACCAAGGCGACGAUGCAUAGCCGGCCUGAGAGGGCGGACGGCCACAUUGGGGCUGAGAAAGGGCCCAAACUCCUACAGGAGGCAGCAGUAGGGAAGUUUCGUCAAUGGGGGGAAACCUGAACGAGCAAUGCCGCGUGAGGGAGGAAGGUCUUCGGAGCGUAAAGCUCUGUUGUAAGAGAAAAACUACAUUCAUAGGGAAUGGUGAGUGAGUGAUGGUAUCUUACCAGAAAGUCACGGCUAACUACGUGCCAGCAGCCGCCGUAA